GUGCGUCUGCCGCAUAAGAAGAGGUGUUCACACAGACAGAGCUGCUUUUUCAUCCACAGCGAGUAAAUAGUGAACCUCCAGGAGAGAUACAAACUAAAGUAUCGAUCAUAUACCACUACCAACGUUUGGAUCGAUAUCUGCAUCGAUCUGCACACCCUUGUCUCCUGGAUCGUAGCUGAGAUCAGCGUGAACCACGUGGGUCUCUGCUCCCUGACCUGUUUCCUGUGUUUGGAAAGAGUUCCAGCUUCAUCUCGGAGUUUCUCUCGGUUUGUGGGCUCAUCUAAAGGACCAACGUGGAUCGAGAAGUCAGCGCUCUCAGGAGGCCGACAAUUUUGUUGAAGAAAGAAGUGGAUGAAAAAAAUACAACCGUGACGAGUUUGGGAAAGAUUUCACUGUGAAAGCUUCCCUAAAAAUGCAUCAGGUCAUCCACACAGGAGAGAGACCGUUCAGCUGUGGAGACUGUGGAAAGUCUUUUACCACGUCUGGACACUUAAAAACACACAAACUCAUCCACAGUGGAGAGAGACCGUUCAGCUGUGACGAGUGUGGAAAGUCUUUUACGCAGUCUGGAAGCUUAAAAACACACCAACUCAUCCACAGUGGAGAGAGACUGUUCAGCUGUGGAGACUGUGGAAAGUCUUUUACGCAGUCUGGAAACUUAAAAACACACCAACUCAUCCACACCGGAGAGAGACCGUUCAGCUGUGGAGACUGUGGAAAGUCUUUUACCCUCUCUGGAAACUUACAAACACACCAACUCAUCCACACCGGAGAGAGACCGUUCAGCUGUGGAGACUGUGGAAAGUCUUUUACCCUCUCUGGAAACUUAAAAACACACCAACUAAUCCACACUGGAGAGAGACUGUUCAGCUGUGGAGACUGUGGAAAGUCUUUUACCCAGUCUGGAAGCUUAAAAACACACCAACUAAUCCACACUGGAGAGAGACCAUUCAGCUGUGACGAGUGUGGAAAGUCUUUUACCCACUCUGGAAACUUAAAAACACACAAACUCAUCCACACUGGAGAGAGACCGUUCAGCUGUGGAGACUGUGGAAAGUCUUUUACCGAGUCUGGAAGCUUAAAAAGACACCAACUAAUCCACACUGGAGAGAGACCAUUCAGCUGUGACGAGUGUGGAAAGUCUUUUACGCGCAUUUCACACUUAAAAACACACAAACUCAUCCACAGUGGAGAGAGACCGUUCAGCUGUGACGAGUGUGGAAAGUCUUUUACCACGUCUGGAAACUUAAAAUCACACCAACUCCUCCACAGUGGAGUUAAAGCGUACACCUGUGAUCAGUGUGGCAGAGCUUUUACUCACAGUAACAACUUACAGAGUCAUCUAGUUACCCACUCUGGAAUUAAGGCGUACAGCUGUGACAUUUGUGGAAAAACUUUCAGCCGGAUAGGGAGCCGAAAUACACACCUACGCAUUCACACCAGACAUGAUGCGUACAGCUGUGAUCAGUGUGGUAAACAGUUUACCACAAACACAGAGUUACGACGUCACAUGUUUACCCACACUGAGGAACGACCUUAUAAAUGUGACCUGUGUGAGAAGACUUUUAAAUCUCCACGUUGCCUGAAAGCACACCAACAGAUCCACACCAGAAAGACUCUACAAGUGCAGUUACUGUGAGAAGCAGAGCGACACAGAUGGAUCAAGUUCUCAACCCUGUCAUCGCUGUGGGAAAGACUUUUGUUGUGACCUUUGUGGAAAAACUUUAAGUCAUUGAAGGACUCUGAAAAUACAUCAACGUAGACACACUGGAGACAAAAUGUAAAGAAUGCGGGAGAGGCUUCGCCACUUCAAAGGACUUCAAACAAUAUGAACUCCUUCACAGUGGCGUUAAAAAGCAUGUCUGCGAUCAGUGUGGGUCAUCCUUCAUCAGUGCAUGUCAGCUUGAAAAGCAUAAACGAGUCCACACAUGAGAGAAACCAUACAAGUGCAGACACUGUGACAAAACCUUUUCACAAUCAUGUGAUCAUACUAAGCAUGAACGCAGACACAUGAAAGAGAACUUCAUCUGUGAAAGAGUUUGAGUAAUCUCAGUUCAUACUCCACUCAGAAACGAUUCCAUGUUACAAAUAAACUGUUACGUCUUGAUUCCUGCUUUUACGUUAAUCUUGUAAACAGUACAUUUGCAUAACGACUGAAACCGGCCCAAUGAAUGAACAAUGGGCUGUGAGGUCAAUUUCUUCAUCAUUAAUAUGCAAAUUCUUAUGAGCAUUGAUCAACAACCACUGGUCAAUGGCCAUGAGUACCAUUCACAGAGUAAAAAUUUGCGUAAUGAUUAUGAAGUUUACUGUUACCAAUGUUCAAAAACAUUUACUAAAUUAUCUUCUCUGUGCAAACAUCAGCGUGAUGCAGGACUGAAAUCAUUGCCAUCUCUGGAUCACAGUGAAUCUGCAGAGACAGAAAGAUCCUCUUCUGGUUUCAGGGUCAGACUUAAACCCUUGAGAUCAGGCUCCACAGAGUUCAGGUGGAGUCUUCUGUAAAGAUCUGAUGAGGCCGCUAUGAAUGAAAGUGUGCCUCUUGUUACAUUUUAAGCGUUCUAAACUGUUCUACUGUAGUGUUUGUGUUGAGUGGUUCGCUUUGUUCCAGCAGUUUGAUUAAGAAAUCUAUUUCCUGUUAUAUUUUUAUUGAAUGCAUUGAUCCAUGUGUUCUGCAGUUUUUUUUUUCAGUUUGUUUGUGUA
Pelmatolapia mariae (spotted tilapia) is the source of this 2697-nucleotide long non-coding RNA. RefSeq lists it as uncharacterized. The transcript has 3 exons. The record is from RefSeq and is a predicted model, not a curated record. Lineage: Eukaryota; Metazoa; Chordata; Actinopteri; Cichliformes; Cichlidae.